CAGGCUAUGACUAGAUGCCCUCUUCCUAUCUCUUGCAGUACGUUUAACCAAGAUGGGUCCAUAUUUGCUUAUGCUGUCUGUUAUGACUGGAGCAAGGGUGCAGAAAAUCAUAAUCCUGCAACAGCGAAGACAUACCUCUAUCUCCAUUCCCCGCAGGAAUCUGAGGUGAAGGGAAAGCCGCGCAUUGGUGCCACGCAGCGCAAGUGACUGACUGACUCUAAAGUAGAUCAAUGAAGGAAGAUUUGUCAUGUCCAUGUUAAUUAUCAUACACUGCUUUUCUGCUAUUCUUUCCUGCCAGCGGCUUAGUUAGGGUUCACGAAUGCUUCAGCUGUAAACUACUAGUAAGGGCAUUUUGUUUUUUGCUUUUUGUUUUCCCUUGAUUAUAUUGAAAUUUCGAAUGCAUCUAUAAAAAUUUUAACUUGUAA
Long non-coding RNA from Dendrobium catenatum, 425 nucleotides. RefSeq lists it as uncharacterized. NCBI's taxonomy places the organism in Eukaryota, Viridiplantae, Streptophyta, Magnoliopsida, Asparagales, Orchidaceae. The record is from RefSeq and is a predicted model, not a curated record. The transcript has 3 exons.